Molecule: long non-coding RNA, 246 nt
Filed under: Solanum lycopersicum (tomato)
Lineage: Eukaryota; Viridiplantae; Streptophyta; Magnoliopsida; Solanales; Solanaceae
Description: long non-coding RNA (SLYC_LNC000140)
Source: RNAcentral
GAACUUCUAUGCAUAAAAUUCCUCGUCAGCAGUAGAGGGGAAUCAUUCCGAAUGGCACUAAGGUCAUUCUUCAACACCACAUCUCCAAAUGUUAAAGAACUCUCCUCAGUUGGAACAUUGAGAGCGAUCUGCAACCUCCUCUUCACAGUAUGAGCAUUGUCACUACGGUCCAACUCCAUCCCCAGCACACAACCAGUGUCAGUUUGCACAAAAACCCGUCUCCUCCCAGUAGAUUUCCCUUCCAUC